This 371-nucleotide unclassified non-coding RNA is filed under the name soil metagenome. RNAcentral's name for it is "partial contains 5.8S ribosomal RNA, internal transcribed spacer 2, and large subunit ribosomal RNA". The stretch from base 1 to 120 matches the Rfam family "5.8S ribosomal RNA", at positions 35 to 154 of the family's 154-position model. The record is from RNAcentral.
GAUGAAGAACGCAGUGAAAUGCGAUAAGUAAUGUGAAUUGCAGAAUUCAGUGAAUCAUCGAAUCUUUGAACGCAUCUUGCGCUCCUUGGUAUUCCGAGGAGCAUGCCUGAUUGAGUGUCAUUUAAAGUUCUCAACUGCAUACAUUAUCAAUGGAUGUGGCUUGGAUGUGGGGGUCAUCUUGCAGGCUUCUCUCUGAAGUUGUCUGCUCCCCUGAAAUGCAUUAGUGGUAUCUGAGCUACUUACAGAUGUGAUAAUUAUCUACAUCAAAGUAUGCUGCACACUGCUUCCUAACGAGUUUUGAAAUUUGAUGAAUUUGACCUCAAAUCAGGUAGGACUACCCGCUGAACUUAAGCAUAUCAAUAAGCGGAGGA